ACGAGAUCCUGCGGUUAAGUGUGUACGGAAGGGGGGAAGCCGCAUGAAUGUAGACAUAUCCCGACCCUGGUCAUAUUAGCAUAACUUUGAAGGGGCGAUUUUUGUGCGGUUUGUGAGGCGGAAUCCCCAUUUACGAUGCGAAGACCAAUUGCAGGCGGCACGGGUGGCUUCGAACCCAGGCCAGUUCAGACAAGCUUCCAAACUUGCAGCUGCGGAGGUCCCCUGUGUUGUGAGGACCCCACCCCACCCGGGUCAGAGCAGAAAGUCUCUGAAAAGUCACCAGUAAAUACAGCUGAAGAGGUAUUUCCAGGUUUAAUCAUCUGCUAAGAACACCACUCCCUGCCAUCUCCUUCUGUGGAAGCACACAGGCCCCUGAACUCUAGCACGGUGUCGUGUGAAAAGCCUCUGAUUACAGUGACAGAUCACCACGUUUCAAAGGAGAUGCCAUGAUAACCACCAGGAAGACCGAAGUCCCCUGUUAAUCCAUAAGCAUCUACGUGUGAUGGAAUUGGAGCUCCUCUGUAAUAAUUUAUGAAUGUUGUGUAUUGACUUGGUUAUUGGGAUGUCUGCUGCAUUAAUUUAUUUUUAGUUUAAUAGGAGGCACAAACAAGAAGGAAGGGAAGAAGAAUGGUUCAGGAUAAGUCACUUUUCAACAAACACUGAAGGGGUGAACUGGUUUUGACAGCAGGGCCAAGGCCCGGGAGCCAGAAAAUCAAAAGAACUCUAGCAGUUUAAAAAGGGACUCCCUCUCAAGAGGAAGGGGGCUGCUCAGGGAAUUGUUUGGGGGGGGGACUGUACCAAAGACACCCUUUGGGUGUCUGGAGAAGGUAGGCCUGCAUAGGUUACCAUCAGAGCAUGAUAACACUUUAGGUAAGAUAGGCAUGCUUGUAGAUGGUUGGUUGUUUUAAAAUCCUCUCUCUCUAAAUGCUUUGGUCCUCCUGUUCAAAUAAAUGAUGCUUUGGUUUAAGAA
This is a long non-coding RNA of Trachemys scripta elegans, 970 nucleotides long. RefSeq lists it as uncharacterized. The transcript is spliced from 4 exons. The record is from RefSeq and is a predicted model, not a curated record. NCBI's taxonomy places the organism in Eukaryota, Metazoa, Chordata, Testudines, Emydidae.